RNAcentral lists this ribosomal RNA (1051 nucleotides) under Paenarthrobacter nicotinovorans. Its description in RNAcentral is "bacterial SSU rRNA". It matches the Rfam family "Bacterial small subunit ribosomal RNA", at positions 259 to 1319 of the family's 1533-position model. Lineage: Bacteria; Bacillati; Actinomycetota; Actinomycetes; Micrococcales; Micrococcaceae. The record is from RNAcentral.
AAUGGCCUACCAAGGCGACGACGGGUAGCCGGCCUGAGAGGGUGACCGGCCACACUGGGACUGAGACACGGCCCAGACUCCUACGGGAGGCAGCAGUGGGGAAUAUUGCACAAUGGGCGCAAGCCUGAUGCAGCGACGCCGCGUGAGGGAUGACGGCCUUCGGGUUGUAAACCUCUUUCAGUAGGGAAGAAGCGAAAGUGACGGUACCUGCAGAAGAAGCGCCGGCUAACUACGUGCCAGCAGCCGCGGUAAUACGUAGGGCGCAAGCGUUAUCCGGAAUUAUUGGGCGUAAAGAGCUCGUAGGCGGUUUGUCGCGUCUGCUGUGAAAGACCGGGGCUCAACUCCGGUUCUGCAGUGGGUACGGGCAGACUAGAGUGCAGUAGAGGGAGACUGGAAUUCCUGGUGUAGCGGUGAAAUGCGCAGAUAUCAGGAGGAACACCGAUGGCGAAGGCAGGUCUCUGGGCUGUAACUGACGCUGAGGAGCGAAAGCAUGGGGAGCGAACAGGAUUAGAUACCCUGGUAGUCCAUGCCGUAAACGUUGGGCACUAGGUGUGGGGGACAUUCCACGUUUUCCGCGCCGUAGCUAACGCAUUAAGUGCCCCGCCUGGGGAGUACGGCCGCAAGGCUAAAACUCAAAGGAAUUGACGGGGGCCCGCACAAGCGGCGGAGCAUGCGGAUUAAUUCGAUGCAACGCGAAGAACCUUACCAAGGCUUGACAUGAACCGGUAAUACCUGGAAACAGGUGCCCCGCUUGCGGUCGGUUUACAGGUGGUGCAUGGUUGUCGUCAGCUCGUGUCGUGAGAUGUUGGGUUAAGUCCCGCAACGAGCGCAACCCUCGUUCUAUGUUGCCAGCGGUUCGGCCGGGGACUCAUAGGAGACUGCCGGGGUCAACUCGGAGGAAGGUGGGGACGACGUCAAAUCAUCAUGGGGGGUGGGGGUCUUGGGCUUCACGCAUGCUACAAUGGCCGGUACAAAGGGUUGCGAUACUGUGAGGUGGAGCUAAUCCCAAAAAGCCGGUCUCAGUUCGGAUUGGGGUCUGCAACUCGACCCC